GUGCUCACUUUGGGAGCACAUAUACUAAAAUUGGAACAGUACAGAGAAGAUUAGCAUGGCCCCUGAGUAAGAAUGACAUGCAAAUUUGUGAAGCAUUCCAUAUAUUU
This 107-nucleotide small nuclear RNA is filed under the name Bison bison bison. The record is from RNAcentral. Lineage: Eukaryota; Metazoa; Chordata; Mammalia; Artiodactyla; Bovidae.